GACGAACGCUGGCGGCGUGCUUAACACAUGCAAGUCGAACGGAAAGGCCCUGCCUGCAGGGUACUCGAGUGGCGAACGGGUGAGUAACACGUGGGUGAUCUGCCCUGCACUUCGGGAUAAGCCUGGGAAACUGGGUCUAAUACCGGAUAGGAGCCAUUUUUAGUGUGAUGGUUGGAAAGUUUUUUCGGUGUAGGAUGGGCUCGCGGCCUAUCAGCUUGUUGGUGGGGUAAUGGCCUACCAAGGCGGCGACGGGUAGCCGGCCUGAGAGGGUGGACGGCCACAUUGGGACUGAGAUACGGCCCAGACUCCUACGGGAGGCAGCAGUGGGGAAUAUUGCACAAUGGGCGCAAGCCUGAUGCAGCGACGCCGCGUGGGGGAUGACGGCCUUCGGGUUGUAAACUCCUUUCGCUAGGGACGAAGCUUUUUGUGACGGUACCUAGAGAAGAAGCACCGGCUAACUACGUG
RNAcentral lists this ribosomal RNA (465 nucleotides) under uncultured bacterium. Its description in RNAcentral is "partial 16S ribosomal RNA". It matches the Rfam family "Bacterial small subunit ribosomal RNA", at positions 28 to 507 of the family's 1533-position model. The record is from RNAcentral.